ACGUACGCUGGCGGCGUGCUUAACGCAUGCAAGUCGAACGGAAAGGCCCUGCUUUUGUGGGGUGCUCGAGUGGCGAACGGGUGAGUAACACGUGAGUAACCUGCUCUUGACUUUGGGUUAACUUCAGGAAACUGGGGCUAAUACCGGAUAGGAGCUCCUGCUGCAUGGUGGGGGUUGGAAAGUUUCGGCGGUUGGGGAUGGACUCGCGGCUUAUCAGCUUGUUGGUGGGGUAGUGGCUUACCAAGGCUUUGACGGGUAGCCGGCCUGAGAGGGUGACCGGCCACAUUGGGACUGAGAUACGGCCCAGACUCCUACGGGAGGCAGCAGUGGGGACUAUUGCACAAUGGGCGGAAGCCUGAUGCAGCAACGCCGCGUGCGGGAUGACGGCCUUCGGGUUGUAAACCGCUUUCGCCUGUGACGAAGCGUGAGUGACGGUAAUGGGUAAAGAAGCACCGGCUAACUACGUG
This 467-nucleotide ribosomal RNA is filed under the name uncultured bacterium. RNAcentral describes it as "partial 16S ribosomal RNA". It matches the Rfam family "Bacterial small subunit ribosomal RNA", at positions 29 to 507 of the family's 1533-position model. The record is from RNAcentral.